GUGGGGAAUCUUCCGCAAUGGACGAAAGUCUGACGGAGCAACGCCGCGUGAGUGAAGAAGGUUUUCGGAUCGUAAAGCUCUUUCGUUAGGGACGAACGUGCUCUUUGUGAAUAAUGAGGAGUAAUGACGGUACCUAAAUAAGAAGCCACGGCUAACUACGUGCCAGCAGCCGCGGUAAUACGUAGGUGGCAAGCGUUGUCCGGAAUUAUUGGGCGUAAAGCGCGCGCAGGCGGGAUAUCAAGUCUGUCUUAAAAGUUCGAGGCUCAACCUCGUGAGGGGACAGAAACUGGUAUUCUUGAGUGUCGGAGAGGAAAGUGGAAUUCCAAGUGUAGCGGUGAAAUGCGUAGAGAUUUGGAAGAACACCAGUGGCGAAGGCGACUUUCUGGACGAUGUCUGACGCUGAGGCGCGAAAGCUAGGGGAGCGAACGGGAUUAGAAACCCUUGUAGUCC
RNAcentral lists this ribosomal RNA (450 nucleotides) under uncultured bacterium. RNAcentral's name for it is "partial 16S ribosomal RNA". It matches the Rfam family "Bacterial small subunit ribosomal RNA", at positions 354 to 796 of the family's 1533-position model. The record is from RNAcentral.